AAGUCGUAACAAGGUUUCCGUAGGUGAACCUGCGGAAGGAUCAUCAUUGAAUAAACUUGCACAGGCUGUUGCUGGCCCCUUGGGGGUACGUGCACGCUUGUCAUCUUUAUUUUUCCAAUUGUGCACAUAUUGUAGACCUGGAGUUUUUUUUGAAAGUUAUUUCGAGUUGGGGACUGCUGUGCUUCAGUUGAAGUCGGCUUUGCCUUGCAUUUUCAGGUCUAUGUCAUUUUUCACAACCUCUUGAUGUGUUUAGAAUGUUGAAUCAGGUCCUUUUGUACCUAUAAAGUUAAAUAUACAACUUUCAGCAACGGAUCUCUUGGCUCUCGCAUCGAUGAAGAACGCAGCGAAAUGCGAUAAGUAAUGUGAAUUGCAGAAUUCAGUGAAUCAUCGAAUCUUUGAACGCAUCUUGCGCUCCUUGGUAUUCCGAGGAGCAUGCCUGUUUGAGUGUCAUUUAAGUUCUCAACCACAUCAAUUUGUUUUUGAUGCGGCUUGGAUGUGGGGGUUUUCUUGCAGGCAUCUUCGAAGUCUGCUCCCCUAAAAUGCAUUAGUGGUAUCUGAGCAGAAGAAACUACUAUAGGUGUGAUAAUUAUCUACAUCUUAGUAUGCUGCAAAUCAGAUUGCAUUGCUUCUAAAGAGUGGAGCCUCUCUCAUGAGGAGCCACAUUUGAUGAAUUGACCUC
RNAcentral lists this ribosomal RNA (679 nucleotides) under uncultured Inocybe. RNAcentral's name for it is "eukaryotic LSU rRNA". The stretch from base 297 to 450 matches the Rfam family "5.8S ribosomal RNA". The record is from RNAcentral. Lineage: Eukaryota; Fungi; Basidiomycota; Agaricomycetes; Agaricales; Cortinariaceae.